GAAGAGGGAAAAGCUCAAAUUUAAAAUCUGGCAGUCUCUGGCUGUCCGAGUUGUAAUUUAGAGAAGUGUUACCCGUGCUGGACCGUGUAUAAGUCUCCUGGAAUGGAGCGUCAUAGAGGGUGAGAAUCCCGUCUUUGACACGGACUUCCCAGUGCAUUGUGGUGCGCUCUCGAAGAGUCGAGUUGUUUGGGAAUGCAGCUCUAAAUGGGUGGUAAAUUCCAUCUAAAGCUAAAUAUUGGCGAGAGACCGAUAGCGAACAAGUACCGUGAGGGAAAGAUGAAAAGAACUUUGGAAAGAGAGUUAAACAGUACGUGAAAUUGCUGAAAGGGAAACGCUUGAAGUCAGUCGCGUUGGCCAGGGAUCAACCUUACUUUUAGUGAGGCGUACUUCCUGGUUGACGGGUCAGCAUCAGUUUUUGACCGCUGGAGAAAGGCUUGGGGAAUGUGGCAUCUCCGGAUGUGUUAUAGCCCCUUGUCGUAUACGGCGGUUGGGACUGAGGAACUCAGCACGCCGCAAGGCCGGGUUUUUUUAAACCACGUUCGUGCUUAGGAUGCUGGCAUAAUGGCUUUAAGCGACCCGUCUUGAAACACGGACCAAGGAGUCUAACAUGCUUGCGAGUGUUUGGGUGGAAAACCCGAGCGCGUAAUGAAAGUGAAAGUUGGGAUCUCUGUCGUGGAGAGCACCGACGCCCGGACCUGAUGUUUACUGACGGAUCUGCGGUAGAGCACGUAUGUUGGGACCCGAAAGAUGGUGAACUAUGCCUGAAUAGGGUGAAGCCAGAGGAAACUCUGGUGGAGGCUCGUAGCGAUUCUGACGUGCAAAUCGAUCGUCGAA
Molecule: ribosomal RNA, 834 nt
Filed under: Moniliophthora sp. UTC 253824
Lineage: Eukaryota; Fungi; Basidiomycota; Agaricomycetes; Agaricales; Marasmiaceae
Description: eukaryotic LSU rRNA
Rfam family: Eukaryotic large subunit ribosomal RNA
Source: RNAcentral